Mizuhopecten yessoensis (Yesso scallop) is the source of this 672-nucleotide long non-coding RNA. RefSeq lists it as uncharacterized. NCBI's taxonomy places the organism in Eukaryota, Metazoa, Mollusca, Bivalvia, Pectinida, Pectinidae. The transcript has 3 exons. The record is from RefSeq and is a predicted model, not a curated record.
AUUCCAUCGACAGUAUUCACAUUCGGCUUCAGCAGUCUGGUCAGUCUGAUAAGAUUGUUCACACGGUAUAUAGACAGCCCGUGGCCUUGGACAGACUCAGUGUUCACGAUAUCACCCCAUCUGACGCAACAGCAAAUGGUCUUAAGCAUGCCUUCGUCCUAGUCCAGAUCAGUCGGUACCAACAGAUCAUUGGUGUAUUUACGUUACAGGCUGUUACAGAUUCUCACAAGGCUACUUGGGUAGACAAGCUGUCACAAGCAAGAGAGAAAUUCAAUUCCGUUCCGGAUAUUUUGGCAAAUCAGUUAUCGCCUGGCGAGGAAGGCGGAGCUCAAGAUGGACUUAUAUCUUCGGACAUUGUCAGGGCAACCAAACAAAACCGUCGAGCGCCGUCGCUCAGAAACCCUCAUGGAAAGUCCUUGUCUAUGGAUGCCGUUUACCUGUGAUCUUUAUGGAUGGAUUUUAUGUUUAUCAUGAUAAUUGGGAAAUCGUUGAGGUACCAUACGGACAUAUGUUAUCCUGAAUCUGUAAUACCAGAUGUGUGAUCUAUGAAUUCCUCAAGUGACAAAACCCAUAAAGAAGUAGAAUUGGCGGGAGAAGAUGGGGGAUAUGGCGAAGUUGUGAUAUUGACAUUUUGUUACACAUCAUUCAGAUAAUGUGAUAACUAGACGUGUU